RNAcentral lists this ribosomal RNA (254 nucleotides) under uncultured bacterium. Its description in RNAcentral is "partial 16S ribosomal RNA". It matches the Rfam family "Bacterial small subunit ribosomal RNA", at positions 524 to 776 of the family's 1533-position model. The record is from RNAcentral.
UACGGAGGGGGCAAGCGUUGUUCGGAUUUACUGGGCGUAAAGGGUCCGUAGGCGGUUGUGUAAGUCUGGUGUGAAAUCUUCGCCGCUUAACGGGAAGCAGCCACUGGAAACUGCAUAACUUGAGUCUGGUAGAGGCAAGCGGAAUUCCUGGUGUAGCGGUGGAAUGCGCAGAUAUCAGGAGGAACACCGGUGGCGAAGGCGGGUCUCUGGGCCGAUACUGACGCUGAGGAGCGAAAGCGUGGGGAGCAAACAGG